AGGUCUGAAAGGUAAGUUAUUUUCUCUAUUUAUAUCAUGGGGAGGGGGCAGUAAUCUAAAUAGUCAAUCCAAAGACAAUUGUUUGCGUUUUUAAUUGUUGGGUUUUUUUUUAAGUCACACCAAAAAUGUUGAUCAAUAUACAAAAAUGAGAGGGUGUUUUAGGGUAAAAUAAAAGUACCACAAUGCACUCUUUGAGUGUCAGGUUUAUUAGCAAAAAUGCUGAUGUCCUGUUGCUAUCAGAUCUUUUCUCCAGUGUGGCAUUCAUGGUAGUAACAAAAUCUUCUAGGCCAGUGAUGGCGAACCUUUUUGAGCCAGAAUGCCCAAACAGCAAUACAUGCUAACUUUUUUCCCCUCAAAGUGCCAACACGGCAAUUAAACCUGAAUACUGAGGUUUACGUUUAGAGGGAGUGCUUUGUG
Non-coding RNA from Pelobates cultripes (western spadefoot toad), 417 nucleotides. The record is from the annotation of a GenBank genome assembly. NCBI's taxonomy places the organism in Eukaryota, Metazoa, Chordata, Amphibia, Anura, Pelobatidae.